This 390-nucleotide ribosomal RNA is filed under the name Lutraria sp. Its description in RNAcentral is "partial small subunit ribosomal RNA". It matches the Rfam family "Eukaryotic small subunit ribosomal RNA", at positions 587 to 975 of the family's 1831-position model. Lineage: Eukaryota; Metazoa; Mollusca; Bivalvia; Venerida; Mactridae. The record is from RNAcentral.
AGCUCCAAUAGCGUAUAUUAAAGUUGCUGCAGUUAAAAAGCUCGUAGUUGGAUCUCGGGUGCAGGCUUGCGGUCCGCCUCGCGGCGGUCACUGCUCGUCCUGACCUCCACGCCGGUUGUCCGCGCCCUGGUGCUCUUGAUUGAGUGUCUCGGCCGGCCGGAACGUUUACUUUGAAGAAAUUAGAGUGCUCAAAGCAGGCCUUAGCCGCCUGAAUAAUGGUGCAUGGAAUAAUGGAAUAGGACCUCGGUUCUAUUUUGCUGGUUUUCGGAGCUCGAGGUAAUGAUUAAUAGGGAUAGUUGGGGGCAUUCGUAUUUAACUGUCAGAGGUGAAAUUCUUGGAUUUGUUAAAGACAGACUACUGCGAAAGCAUUUGCCAAGGAUGUUUUCAUUG